This is a long non-coding RNA of Ornithodoros turicata, 498 nucleotides long. RefSeq lists it as uncharacterized. NCBI's taxonomy places the organism in Eukaryota, Metazoa, Arthropoda, Arachnida, Ixodida, Argasidae. The transcript has 2 exons. The record is from RefSeq and is a predicted model, not a curated record.
UCCCUGUAAUUUGUCCGGCUACGAAACAUUUAGUCACUCUCGCCUCUGUUCAUUCUUCUGUUUUUAUGUCCUUACUCACUAUCAGGUACAUUAAGCGCCGUUCCUGCAUCCUUGGAUUGCUCGGAUGAGAUUGUUGUGCCUGCUCUGGAAGCUUGUAAACAGGAAAUGACUGCGAAUUCUUUAUUGAAACCUCUGUGGCUCCCAGAGGACGCACCCGCCCCACUCGAUUCAAACAACGCUACCCAUCAUCGUGCUUUUUGCUGCGCUACUCAGGUGGGCUCCAGCUGCAUUAGAAGACACCUAGGAGCAAGGUGCCCUGUCCUUGUCGCAGAGGUGGAACGCACGGCGAACGAAGAUCUCAAGCGUAUCUUCCCAGACCAGACUUGCGAUCUCACCCCGUGCUAAGUGCUGAUAAGCGCAUAUCCUGCGUGGUAAAGCCAGACAUAUAUACAAGGGGGAUAUAUUCGAGGCAGGAAGAAUAAACAACUUGAAAACCAA